Molecule: ribosomal RNA, 326 nt
Filed under: uncultured eukaryote
Lineage: Eukaryota
Description: partial 18S ribosomal RNA
Rfam family: Eukaryotic small subunit ribosomal RNA
Source: RNAcentral
CCCUUAGAUGUUCUGGGCCGCACGCGCGCUACACUGAUUCAUGCAACAAGUUUUGUCCUUGGCUGAUAGGCCUGGGUAAUCUUUGAACGUGAAUCGUGAUGGGGAUAGAUGAUUGCAAUUAUUCAUCUUCAACGAGGAAUUCCUAGUAAACGCAAGUCAUCAGCUUGCAUUGAUUACGUCCCUGCCCUUGUACACACCGCCCGUCGCACCUACCGAUUGAAUGGUCCGGUGAAAUCUUCGGAUCUGAGAGAUGUCUGAUUAAUUUCGGACGCCUUUUGGAAAAGUUGUUUAAACCUUACCAUUUAGAGGAAGGUGAAGUCGUAACA